UGCCCAGGAAACCUCUCCCAAUAGUCCCCAU
This 31-nucleotide non-coding RNA is filed under the name Mus musculus (house mouse). Lineage: Eukaryota; Metazoa; Chordata; Mammalia; Rodentia; Muridae. The record is from RNAcentral.